Long non-coding RNA from Solanum dulcamara, 2120 nucleotides. RefSeq lists it as uncharacterized. The record is from RefSeq and is a predicted model, not a curated record. The transcript has 3 exons. NCBI's taxonomy places the organism in Eukaryota, Viridiplantae, Streptophyta, Magnoliopsida, Solanales, Solanaceae.
GUAGAUUUGUGUCUUUUAUUGUGGAGAUGACUCCUUUAUGGCUAAGUUUAUUAAUGAAAAUUGAAAGCCAUUCAGAAUUUUUUUUCAGUCUUUCUCAGAUUACAGUUUAACAUUACUUUAUACGUAGCGCCGAUUUUAAGAAUUUCAACUAGUCCAAAUUUGCUGUAGAUGUAGUGGAGACUAUAAAUACCGAGUCCAAUAUAUAUUUGUGUAAUGUGCUAACAUGUUCCAAUACUUCCUUACAUAACACAUUUAUGAUUUUCAUUUUGGGAACUAACAGAACUAGAAGAUUCAUUUUUUUCAAAGACGAUUAUCUCAUCUGAUGUUAACAAGGACAAAUUUAUGAUCUACCAAUCUCCACAACCUUUUGGGAAACAGAAAUGCUUGGUACAUCAUGUCUGGGAUGAAGGUCAUUGAAAGUAAGUGUUUCUCGAGAGGGAAAAAGGAAUUAUGCUGUCUGUAAUAGGUAAUUUUCUAAACUUUGUUUUGACAUUUUAAAUCAUGAAUGAUAUUUCGAGCUGUGUGUUUCUCUGAAUGAUAUUCAUUAUAUGCUAUGAAAAACAAGCUAAAAAUGGACUGCAUGUUAAAUUGAAUAAUUGAUGUUGGAGAUUUGGGUGUUUUGCACCGUUACCAACCCAUUCAUUUACUUGCUCAACUUUGGUGAAAUUGAUCUUAAGAGCUAUAUACCCGACCUUCAGUUUAUGUAUAACUAAUCAAACGGUAGAUCUGAAGUUCUAUUUUUUUCAUAGAACUAAAAAUAUUUAGGUUCCAUACUUGUACGUGGAUGAUAAAUAUGGUGUAAUUGUGUAAUAUCUUCUGUUGGUCGAUAUGUAUUUAUAAUGUUCAACUCUAAGAAUCAGAAUUUCUUAUCUGGAUAGACUCUUUUGAAAGUAGAGACCGUCCAUAACUAAACAGGUGUAUUUGCCUCUAAUUUUAAGACAUUUACUUUGGUUAUGAGGAAUCAUAAAUGCACAAAAUGGACUAACUUUUAAAGCUACUAUACAUUUUCCUCCAAGUGCAGCAUGAGUGUUUUUGCUUAAUCUGUGUGCUCUCGCUUUUAAUUCAUCUUUAUUUUGAACUUUAAACUUUAAUUUAUGUUAUCACUCUUUUCUCUAUUUUUGUGUUCGGACCUUUUGGUCUCUCUGCUGAAGAACUCAAAAAGUAGCACUUGUGGAGAAAUUGUGAAAUUUAGAGAGAGAAUCUUAUCACACUAAUUGGGUUGAGUUGAUUUUAAUGACCUGAUAUAAUAUAUUUUACUUACCAUUCACAUAAGGAUUCAAUGAAUACAUCCUUGAUUGUUAGCAGUGACAAAACUCAUAAAGUGUAUAGAUUUUAGGGCUAUUUGAUCACUUUAUCUAUUCUGCUUAUAAGUUCUAAGAUUUUGUAUUUAUCUGUAAAAUGAGGAUUCACAAUUAUUGUGGCUGUCACAAACGGUGGUGAUAAUGCGGGUAAGUAACUUUGAUCACUGAAAUUUUUCUAGAUAACUAUGAAGCAUUAGUUACACCUUAUAUCUUGUGAAAAUAUGAAUGUUGUGUUUAUACUUGCUGGUGCACUACAAAGAACAACUCAACUCAUUUUUUCAAUAAAUAUUUCAAAAUUAUGUUUUAAUAUUCACUCCAUUUUUACUAUGUCUGAGUUUAUAUCUUUUUGUUUUUUCUUUUUCAUUAGCUCUCCGCUGGAGGGGUACAGUUUAGAUAGUGUGUUGAUUUGUCCCAUUUGAAGCCCUUGGAGUAUGCCUGUUUAGUGGUAUCCCUUGGAAGAAUAAAUGCUUCUCCAGGCAGGUUGAAAUAUGAUGUCUUGGAGUUUGGAGAAAGGAAAAAAAAUCCUCUCCAAAAGUUUGAAAUGUGAUCCCUGGAUGUUAGGAUUGUCGCAGGCAACAUUGGAUAUUUCAGAAUAUUUUGUAGAUUUUUGAUCCUCAAUACAAGAAAGCACUACGAAAUGUUAAUAUGCUUGUAAACAUUGAAUCAACUAAACAACAAUGUUUCCUUUAGUGUUUUUUUUUUAGGAAGGUAACAAUUGUAUUUCUAUUAAACCCAAAAGAAGUGCUUAGUUUAGAUCUUUACAAAAACAAAAACAAAAGGUACAAAGGACUAGUGUUCAAAAACCUAUAUUCUUAUACA